AUGAAAUUUCAACCUGCCCAACACGAUUACUGGUCCACCUAGAAAUGCCGUGGAGCGAUUUAAGAGCCUCGGAAAUUUCCUUUAAGACUAGUCUCACUCUGUUGCCCAGGCUGGAGUGCAGUGGCGCGAUCUCAGCUUACUUCAGCCUCCGCCUCCCGGUUUCAAGUGAAUUCUCCAGCCUCAACUUCACAAGUAGCUGGGAUUACAGGGCAUUCAAGCAGCCCUGAGGAGAGGUCCACAUGGUGAGCCACUGAGGGCCUUGCCAAGAGCCAGCACCAACGGUCCAGGUUUGGAGUGUACCACCUUGGAAGUGAAUCUUCCAGUCCAGUCAAGCCUUCAGAUGACUUCAGAACCGUCCAUGUAAGCCACUCUUGGAUUCCUGACCCACAGAAACUGUUGGAGGCAUUAUCAACAGUUUCUAACAUCACAGACAGACAAACAUGUGCCUCCUGAUUGAAAAAACAGAACAUCACCUGUAGUCUUGCCAGUGAGAUCAAACUGAAGUCCAAUUAACCUCUGGAUCCAGCUGCCAAUUUGCAGGAAAUAGAGGAGAGAAGCAUCUGUUGAACUGCACCAUGAGUAUACACUCAGCAAAGGCCAAACUGUGGAAAAUGAUACAGGUCAAACAGCCUGGAUUCUUUAACAGUAAGUGAUGUUUCUGAAGCACCAAUGAAAAUGAAGUCCUGAAGUCCUGUGCUCAAUAUGAAAUGUUGGAAGUUAGAAGAAAAAAACAAAACUUGGAUCCAAUCUCAAGGCACUUUUUGUUUAAUGGGAAGAAGUGGAUUAUUUUAAAAGCUACAAAUAAAGUUACAUAAAAGUA
Molecule: long non-coding RNA, 820 nt
Filed under: Homo sapiens (human)
Lineage: Eukaryota; Metazoa; Chordata; Mammalia; Primates; Hominidae
Description: HSALNT0377850
Source: RNAcentral